RNAcentral lists this transfer RNA (76 nucleotides) under Leuconostoc mesenteroides subsp. cremoris. RNAcentral's name for it is "tRNA-Asp". It matches the Rfam family "tRNA". Rfam says of the family: Transfer RNA (tRNA) molecules are approximately 80 nucleotides in length. Their secondary structure includes four short double-helical elements and three loops (D, anti-codon, and T loops). RNAcentral also lists the same sequence under 1 other name. The record is from RNAcentral. Lineage: Bacteria; Bacillati; Bacillota; Bacilli; Lactobacillales; Lactobacillaceae.
UGGUCGCAUGGUCUAGCUGGUUAGGACGCCUGCCUGUCACGCAGGAGAUCGCGGGUUCGAUCCCCGCUGUGACCGU